AGGGAAUGAAGACACUGUAGGGUUAAGAGCCUGAAUUGUACUUAAAAGUCUUAAGACUUUCUUUCUAAACAGUGUGCCUGGGAAACGCAUAACCCAGAAGAAUUGGCUGAUUGUCUCACUCUGUUCUUCGCUGUAUUGACUUCAAUUCCAAUGUAGACAAGGUUGAUGGUUGCUGAAGCAUCCUGUCUAACUGCUAUUGAACAGUCAUAAUAGGGUUGGCCUGACAUCAGAGGUACCUGAAGACAGCUGGUCACAAUAUCAGGCCCAGUGGCCUGCAUUUCUACCAUGGAUUAUCUUGAACUCUCAUUUUGUGAACCAAGCCCUUACUUGAAGAGCUAUACCUUGCAUUUGGAAUAGUGUUGCUGCAAGAUAGAGAGACUACAAGCCCCAGAUGUUAGGUGCACCUCAACCCACUCACUGAUUUCAACAGCUCUUGACUGCAUGCUUGAUUACGACUGGAAUCUAAAUGCUGAGCUAACAAUUCAGUGGAAAUGGAUAGAAAUAGAAGCUUGCCACAGGAAGAGACCAACACUAAGACGGAAACAGAGACAGAGACAGUGACCAAGACAGAACAUCCUAGAAGAGGGAGGGAGCGGGCCUGAUGAACAAUAGUAAGCAAGAAAAGAAGAGCGUGCAAGAGAACAGCACAUUGGAUGUGGAGAGAAAAAAAACACCCAGUCGUACAGCUCAGCUCACACAACAAAGAGUGCUUUAACUGUACUUAAAAAGCAAGUCAGCUUUUACAUAAAUAGAGGAGGGGAGAAAGAAACAUGACAAACAUGCAAAAGUAAUAA
This 794-nucleotide long non-coding RNA is filed under the name Pogona vitticeps (central bearded dragon). RNAcentral describes it as "lncRNA (ENSPVIG00000012253.1)". Lineage: Eukaryota; Metazoa; Chordata; Lepidosauria; Squamata; Agamidae. The record is from RNAcentral.